Molecule: long non-coding RNA, 1559 nt
Organism: Capsella rubella
Lineage: Eukaryota; Viridiplantae; Streptophyta; Magnoliopsida; Brassicales; Brassicaceae
Exons: 4
Source: RefSeq, a predicted model, not a curated record
AGAAGCAUAUAAGGACAGAAGAGGAUGAUGAACGAAGUAAGAACUAUUGUUUAAUCCUUUUUAUUGGUGAGUUUAGCACUGAAGUAUUUGAAGCUUUUUUUAAAUCUUAUGUGGUUUUAUUUUGACACUGUACAUACGAGAGGGAAGAGAGUGAGGAUGAACAAUUAACGAUCUGAAGCUGGUUCGUCUUCAUUGACCAACUCUCGUUCUCUGCGCUUUGCUAUGGCUUUAAAGUCAAAUGAAAACUCUCUCGUAAAAAUCCAACGAAGAGUCUCCUCUCUUGUAAGUUGUAAAUAUAGUGUUGAAGAAGAAGCGUACAAGGGGACAGAGAAGUAUGUACGAGAUGGAAAAAAUAGAGAAUGAACAAUUCAUAACCCGAAGUUGGUUCGUCUUCACUGAACAACCCUAGUUGUGUGCGCUUUGCUAUGUCUUCAUAAUCAAAGGAAAAUUCUCUGAGUGGAAUUUUACAGGAGAAAACAUUUCUUCUGCAAACAAUGCUUGUAUAGCCAUCGAAGAAAUAACAUUCAAGGUAACACCAAUAUGUUGUUUAUUCUUGAUGUAUACUUGAAGUUUUUGGUCAAGUACAAACUCGUGAAUGAUCAGAGGUUAAUAUAUAUUUAAGUUUGGGCACAUUGUCACACCAAUUCUGAUUGAUGUUGUCUCUUCGUUGGAUUCAAUUAUUCAAUAUGGAGAAGUGAUUCAGCAGCCUUAUAAAUCCAAUAUUUUAUUGGUCAUGUCUAACUAUGUCUUUAUUUUUUGGUGAAUAUAAGGCACAAGUUUUGAGCAAUGCAACUACACUACUUGAACAUAAUCCAAUAAACCUAGAUGUUUACAAUACAAUUACCCAUGGAAGACUAGCAUCGGUUCGUCUAGACCUCGUUCCACCACUCUUUGAAUACUUUAUGGAGAGUAAAAUGAUUCUAAAUCCCAAAAAAACAAGAAAUUGGAAACGUUAGCAAACCUAAUUUUUUGGAUUGAGAGUCUUUUUACUCUCCAUGAAGUACUUCAAGUGUGGUGGAAAGAGGUCUGUACGAACCCGUGCUAGUAUCCCAUGGUAAUAGCACUGUUAACAGCUAGGUCAAUUGGCUUGUUGAUUAGAUAAUGUAAUUGCAUUCCUAAAAAAUUUUGCCUUCUUCACUAAAAAAAGAGAGGCAUAGUUAGACAUGGCAAAAAAAAAUUGGAUUUAUAAGGCUGCUAGAGUCACCUCUCUAUAUUGAAUAAUUGAGCCCAAGGAAGAGACAACAUCGGUCACAAUUGUUGAGACUUUGUGACCAAACUGAAAUAUAUAUUGAGCUUUUAUCAUUCACGAGUUUGUACUUAGCUAGAAACUUCAAGCAUACAUCGAGAAUAAGCAGCAUGUUGUUGUGACCUCGUAUGCAAAAUCUCCAAUGGCUAUACAAGCAUUGUUUGCAAAAGCAAGUUUUUCGCUAUUAAAACUUCCAGUCUAUAGAAAUCACAAAUACGAUCAAAAUUAUGUACAUAUUGUAUUUGUUUUACGUGAGUUUUGGUUAAUAUUUGUAGUCGUUUACUAAAGCUAGCUAAACCAAAUUUUGUUUGGA